GAACAAACUUUCCUAAGGAACACAUAUAUUUUGAAGCCUCUAACUAUUGAAAAACAAUGAAAAACUGGCGGAACGCCGUUUUACCCCACGGUCUCCGAAAAAAUAUUUCUUGUUGAUAUCCCUCCCGACCCCCUUUUCUCCACAUGAUUUUACCACAAACGUGGUGAAUUUUCGAUCAGCUGACUUGCGCCUGGCUGAUGCUGUUCAUGACAGAUGAGUUUUUGUUUAUGUUUACAUUAUCAAAUAUCGGAGGCUCCAAAAAGUUUUGUGAUGUGAAACCUUUAAUUUUUUUUAACGUGAGCCUGAUAUUUACAAAACUUUUGAUAAGCUCAAGGUGCUCUUACGAGGCACGACUGGAACAUGUGUAAACCGUGUAAACGAGUGUGUGGAACAAAUGGGUUCCGGAAACAACAGAGACAGUUAUAGAACUGGAGAAAGAAGCCGAUUGGUGGCCGAUUAAAACGCCGGUAGAGGUACUUGAGAAUGAAACUACAGGGUGUAAUCGAAGAAGCAGUUGAAGAGCAUACUGCUUCCGCCCUAGCUGCAGAACCCAUUCAACGAACCAGCUAAUCCGACGCAAAGAAGAUACUGGUCACUGUACAUUUCGGCAGCGACGACGUGUUGUUAGCAGAAGUUCCGCUUCUGUCGACUACUGGUAACCGGCUUACAAAUCUGACAACGGGGCAAAGUUUCGACACCGUCCUCCAACCAUGAAGCAUUCCUCCAUCGCCCUCUGACCCGAAUCCAUCGAAAUAUCAUCAUAUCCUCAACGAAGUCGACGAUCAUACUGCACUUUCAGACGCUGAGUGGCAUGAGAAGCACUAGGAACAAUUCCAUGCCACAUUGAAACCGAGCAAGGUAGUUCGUCUAACAUACCGCUGAACCAGAUCUUUAUGUUAUCAUGGACGAACAAAAUGUUCGAACAUUAAACUGGUGUGCAUGACUAUGCUUAGUGUGGGUUUUCUGUGUUUUUCUCUUAAAGAUAGAAUGAGACUAAAUGAACGGAAUAUUUAGCGAUUGCAAUUUUUCAAAGUCUUAAAUUACCGGAAAUAUUUUACUACAAUGCGGGACAUAAGUUUUAUAAUUCCUACUAUUAAACAUUAAUGAUAAAAAAUGUGUGCUUUCCAUAA
Long non-coding RNA from Aedes aegypti (yellow fever mosquito), 1130 nucleotides. RefSeq lists it as uncharacterized. The transcript has 2 exons. NCBI's taxonomy places the organism in Eukaryota, Metazoa, Arthropoda, Insecta, Diptera, Culicidae. The record is from RefSeq and is a predicted model, not a curated record.